Molecule: ribosomal RNA, 441 nt
Filed under: uncultured bacterium
Lineage: Bacteria
Description: partial 16S ribosomal RNA
Rfam family: Bacterial small subunit ribosomal RNA
Source: RNAcentral
CCUACGGGAGGCAGCAGUGGGGGAUAUUGAACAAUGGGGGAAACCCUGAUGCAGCGACGCCGCGUGGGUGAAGAAGUAUUUCGGUAUGUAAAGCCCUAUCAGCAGGGAAGAAAGAAGACGGUACCUGACUAAGAAGCCCCGGCUAACUACGUGCCAGCAGCCGCGGUAAUACGUAGGGGGCGAGCGUUAUCCGGAUUCACUGGGUGUAAAGGGAGCGUAGACGGCCGUGCAAGCCAGGAGUGAAAGCCCGGGGCCCAACCCCGGGACUGCUCUUGGAACUGUGCGGCUGGAGUGCGGGAGGGGCAGGCGGAAUUCCUGGUGUAGCGGUGAAAUGCGUAGAUAUCAGGAGGAACACCGGCGGCGAAGGCGGCCUGCUGGACCGCGACUGACGUUGAGGCUCGAAAGCGUGGGGAGCGAACAGGAUUAGAUACCCUUGUAGUC